UGAGGAAUAUUGGUCAAUGGGCGAGAGCCUGAACCAGCCAAGUCGCGUGAGGGAAGACGGUCCUAUGGAUUGUAAAACCUCUUUUGCCGGGGAGCAAAGAGCGGCACGUGUGCCGCGCCGAGAGUACCCGGAGAAAAAGCAUCGGCUAACUCCGUGCC
RNAcentral lists this ribosomal RNA (158 nucleotides) under uncultured bacterium. RNAcentral describes it as "partial 16S ribosomal RNA". It matches the Rfam family "Bacterial small subunit ribosomal RNA", at positions 355 to 509 of the family's 1533-position model. The record is from RNAcentral.